RNAcentral lists this transfer RNA (68 nucleotides) under Trachytettix bufo. Its description in RNAcentral is "tRNA-Trp". The record is from RNAcentral. Lineage: Eukaryota; Metazoa; Arthropoda; Insecta; Orthoptera; Tetrigidae.
AAGGGCUUAAGUUAAUAAAACUAGUAACCUUCAAAGUUACCUAUAAAAGUGCACACUUUUAGACCUUA